This is a long non-coding RNA of Limulus polyphemus (Atlantic horseshoe crab), 669 nucleotides long. RefSeq lists it as uncharacterized. Lineage: Eukaryota; Metazoa; Arthropoda; Merostomata; Xiphosura; Limulidae. The transcript is spliced from 4 exons. The record is from RefSeq and is a predicted model, not a curated record.
GUUGAAGCUACUACCCUUGAACCUGUGGAGGCGACUCACUUCUGAAAUGUACUCUUACUCUCUACCUUCAUGCACUGUGUUACACAUUGAUUAAAAUGUGGAAUGUUCUUCAACUCUUGAACGAUAAAGAAAUUCGACUGCGAACUUCCACUGUACUGGUUACUUAUUUGGCUUUUAUAUACAGUUGCACUAUAUCAUCUUUGGAUUGUGAAACGAGGUAUAUAAAGCAGUUCCCUCCUAGCCUUGACUGAUGAAUUCGCAGAAAAUUUGCACGGACGUCUCCUGUCAUGGCAAACACUGACACGUCUCCUAUCAUGCAGAACCACACCAGAUGUCGCGAGUUGUGACAUCACGUGAUCCUGUGGAUGAAAAAUGGAUGUGUGAGUAACGGUGGCGUCACUUAUUUGGCGCCCGCACACUUCUAUGACGAACUUUCAAUCAACGUCUGCUCGCGUGAAGUCGAUCUCCUUGACAUCCAGGUUUCAUGGCAUCGUUUUACUCCACUCCGGGACACAUAACCUGUUUGCAUGUUACUCUUACUUUUAUUGACACCGUCUAAACUAUUGAUGUAUCUUAGCCAGAAACUGCUCAAACUAACAUACAGCUGAAUAUAAGCGCGAGAUAAGAAUAGGUAAUUCUUAUAAACUGAGAAAACUUAAAAGUGAAAAA